This 1495-nucleotide ribosomal RNA is filed under the name uncultured Bordetella sp. Its description in RNAcentral is "partial 16S-23S ribosomal RNA intergenic spacer". It matches the Rfam family "Bacterial small subunit ribosomal RNA". The record is from RNAcentral. Lineage: Bacteria; Pseudomonadati; Pseudomonadota; Betaproteobacteria; Burkholderiales; Alcaligenaceae.
GGCUCUGAUUAUGGCUCAGAUUGAACGCUGGCGGGAUGCUUUACACAUGUGCAAGUCGAACGGCAGCACGGACUUCGGUCUGGUGGCGAGUGGCGAACGGGUGAGUAAUGUAUCGGAACGUGCCUAGUAGCGGGGAUAACUACGCGAAAGCGUAGCUAAUACCGCAUACGCCCUUCGGGGGAAAGCGGGGGGACCUUCGGGCCUCGCACUAUUAGAGCGGCCGAUAUCGGAUUAGCUAGUUGGUGGGGUAACGGCUCACCAAGGCGACGAUCCGUAGCUGGUUUGAGGAGGACGACCAGCCACACUGGGACUGAGACACGGCCCAGACUCCUACGCAGGAGGCAGCAGUGGGGAAUUUUGGACAAUGGGGGAAACCCCGAUCCAGCCAUCCCGCGUGUGCGAAGGCCUUCGGGUUGUAAAGCACUUCGGCAGGAAAGAAAACGGUGGCACGGGAUAACACCGUGCAACUGACGGUACCUGCAGAAUAAGCACCGGCUAACUACGUGCCAGCAGCCGCGAUAAUACGGUAGGGUGCAAGCGUUAAUCGGAAUUACUGGGCGUAGCGUGCGCAGGCGGUUCGGAAAGAAAGAUGUGAAAUCCCAGAGCUUAACUUUGGAACUGCAUUUUUAACUACCGAGCUAGAGUGUGUCAGAGGGAGGUGGAAUUCCGCGUGUAGCAGUGAAAUGCGUAGAUAUGCGGAGGAACACCGAUGGCGAAGGCAGCCUCCUGGGAUAACACUGACGCUCAUGCACGAAAGCGUGGGGAGCAAACAGGAUUAGAUACCCUGGUAGUCCACGCCCAAACGAUGUCAACUAGCUGUUGGGGCCUUCGCCUUGGUAGCGCAGCUAACGCGUGAAGUUGACCGCCUGGGGAGUACGGUCGCAAGAUUAAAACUCCAAAGGAAUUGGACGGGGACCCGCACAAGCGGUGGAUGAUGUGGAUUAAUUCGAUGCAACGCGAAAACCUUACCUACCCUUGACAUGUCUGGAAUCCCGAAGAGAUUUGGGAGGUGCCUGCAAGAGAACCGGAACACAGGUGCUGCAUGGCUUGCCGUCAGCUCGUGUCGUGAGAUGCUGGGUUAAGUCCCGCAACGAGCGCAACCCUUUGUCAUUAGUUGCUACGGAAAGGCACUCUAAUGAGACUGCCAGUGACAAACCGGAGGAAGGUGGGGAUGACGUCAAGUCCUCAUGGCCCCUGCGGGGUAGGGCUUCACACGUCAUGGCGGCAACGGUUCGGGACAGAGGGUCGCCAACCCGCAGGGGAGCCAAUCCCAGAAACCCGAUCGUAGUCCGGAUCGCAGUCUGCAACUCGACUGCGUGAAGUCGGAAUCGCUAGUAAUCGCGGAUCAGCAUGUCGCGGUGAAUACGUUCCCGGGUCUUGUACACACCGCCCGUCACACCAUGGGAGUGGGUUUACCAGAAGUAGUUAGCCUAACCGUAAGGAGGGCGAUUACCACGGUAGGAUUCAUGACUGGGGUGAAGUCGUAACAAGGUAG